This 440-nucleotide long non-coding RNA is filed under the name Cyanistes caeruleus (blue tit). Its description in RNAcentral is "lncRNA (ENSCCEG00000009852.1)". Lineage: Eukaryota; Metazoa; Chordata; Aves; Passeriformes; Paridae. The record is from RNAcentral.
CUCAGCCACAAGUGCUUGUCCCCAUUCUGUCCUCUGUAUUUUGCACAGCUGCAGGAAAAGAAGAAAGGAACUGAUCAAGCUGAGAAAACAAUCUUCCUUUUAGUCCUUGUUCUUCCUGAUGACAAGGGUCCACUACACCAUAUGCACACAAUGGUGCCCAGGUUUGGACUCUACAGGAAAUUUCAAUGUGCUAACAGUUGGCACUUUAUUUGUGGACACACCCUUUACUUCCAAAUGCACAGCACUUCAGCUUCAGGAAAGCAGUUACUGUAUGACAGCUUUUUAAAGUGACCUGUACAGCAUUCUUGGCAAAUACAUCCUGUUCCUUAAAUGGUGCUUUUGAUUUAGGGUUAAAAAUGAAAGGCAAAUCCCUGUGAACCAUUUAUGUCCCAUAUAUUGUCUGCAAUAAAACAAUUGUACAGUUUUUCUGGAGUAAAUUU